CUAACACAUGCAAGUCGAGCGGGGACAUACGACGGAUAGGAAGUUUUCGGAUGGAAUUGAAGAUGUAUUGUUCUAGCGGCGGACGGGUGAGUAACGCGUGAGCAACCUGUCCCUUACAGGGGGAUAACACAGCGAAAGUUGUACUAAUACCGCAUAAGACCACGGGGAGACAUCUUCCAGGGGUCAAAGGAGCAAUCCGGUAAGGGGUGGGCUCGCGUCCGAUUAGAUAGUUGGUGAGGUAACGGCCCACCAAGUCGACGAUCGGUAGCCGACCUGAGAGGGUGAUCGGCCACAUUGGGACUGAGACACGGCCCAAACUCCUACGGGAGGCAGCAGUGGGGAAUAUUGGGCAAUGGGGGAAACCCUGACCCAGCAACGCCGCGUGAGGGAAGAAGGUUUUCGGAUCGUAAACCUCUGUCCUUGGUGAAGAGGAAGAGACGGUAGCCAAGGAGGAAGCCCCGGCUAACUACGUGCCAGCAGCCGCGGUAAUACGUAGGGGGCAAGCGUUGUCCGGAAUGAUUGGGCGUAAAGGGCGCGUAGGCGGCCCGGUAAGUCUGAAGUGAAAGUCCUGGUUUUAAGUUGGGAAUUGCUUUGGAUACUGUCGGGCUUGAGUGCAGGAGAGGUAAGUGGAAUUCCCAGUGUAGCGGUGAAAUGCGUAGAGAUUGGGAGGAACACCAGUGGCGAAGGCGACUUACUGGACUGUAACUGACGCUGAGGCGCGAAAGUGUGGGGAACAAACAGGAUUAGAUACCCUGGUAUUCCACACUGUAAAAUAUGAAUGCUAGGUGUAGGGGGUAUCAGCCCUU
This 806-nucleotide ribosomal RNA is filed under the name uncultured rumen bacterium. RNAcentral describes it as "bacterial SSU rRNA". It matches the Rfam family "Bacterial small subunit ribosomal RNA", at positions 48 to 840 of the family's 1533-position model. The record is from RNAcentral.